This 204-nucleotide long non-coding RNA is filed under the name Fukomys damarensis (Damara mole-rat). Its description in RNAcentral is "lncRNA (ENSFDAG00000032073.1)". The record is from RNAcentral. Lineage: Eukaryota; Metazoa; Chordata; Mammalia; Rodentia; Bathyergidae.
UCAUGAUUCUGACACAAAGGCCCCAGGACACUAAAUGGGCCACAAGAUAGAAUUGGGGCUCCCACUUCUGCCUCCUUGGAAGAAUAAUUCCUGACUCAGGGAAAAUCACUACCUUUCAAACCUGAUUGCUAAGCCAAGCACCGAGACAGCCAACAAGACCCUUAAUGAAGAGACACAGAGAAGGUCAAAGAGGAACAUAGAAAC